RNAcentral lists this ribosomal RNA (428 nucleotides) under uncultured bacterium. RNAcentral's name for it is "bacterial SSU rRNA". It matches the Rfam family "Bacterial small subunit ribosomal RNA", at positions 355 to 775 of the family's 1533-position model. The record is from RNAcentral.
UGAGGAAUUUUGCGCGAUGGGAGCAAUCCUGACGCAGCAACGCCGCGUGGGUGAAGAAGGCCUUCGGGUCGUAAAGCCCUGUCAGGUGGGAAGAAGGGUCCUAUCAGGAAAGGGGUGGGAUUUGACGGUACCACCAGAGGAAGCACCGGCUACCUCCGUGCCAGCAGCCGCGGUAAUACGGAGGGUGCGAGCGUUAUUCGGAAUUACUGGGCGUAAAGCGCGUGUAGGCGGGGGAGUAAGUCUGAUGUGAAAGCCCCGGGCUUAACCCGGGAAGUGCAUUGGAAACUGUUUUUCUUGAGUACUGGAGAGGAAGGGGGAAUUCCCGGUGUAGAGGUGAAAUUCGUAGAGAUCGGGAGGAAUACCAGUGGCGAAGGCGCCCUUCUGGACGGUUACUGACGCUGAGACGCGAAAGCGUGGGGAGCAAACAG